This is a long non-coding RNA of Photinus pyralis (common eastern firefly), 978 nucleotides long. RefSeq lists it as uncharacterized. The transcript has 5 exons. NCBI's taxonomy places the organism in Eukaryota, Metazoa, Arthropoda, Insecta, Coleoptera, Lampyridae. The record is from RefSeq and is a predicted model, not a curated record.
UUUUAAAAAUGUCGAACAAUCGUCGGAAAAGUUAAAUCCAUACGCCAUGAGAACUAGGUUUUAGUCCAUCAAAUUUCCCCUGCAAUACAAUUUAUUGGAUUAGUCAACCCCUGUAGAUUUUGAAGUGUAAAAAAUUCCCUUCAGCUAUCUCUAUAAUAAUUUCAAACAAAUUAAUUCCUGCACAAUAAAAGCUACAAGGACACGUUGGUCAAGUAACCUGUAUCUGCUUUUAUUUAUCAUCAUUGCAGUUAUAAGAUUAUGAAUGUACGUGAUUCAUUUGCGAAUGAAUAACCAGUAAGUGCGGUUGUAUGUGCUCCGUUAUUACGCGUUUAUAUUCCACGUGAAAGGUGUGAAGACAUCGCCAUCCAUCCAAAAACGACGAGGCUAUUUCAAACUGAUGAUGCUAAGACCAAGUAUUUCUUGGGUUGAGGCAGAGGAGCUAUACGGUUUACCAUUUAGAGCGACCAUUCAGCAACCAAACGUGAAAGAAGUGAGCACUAGUCACCAUCGAAUUCGGCAUUGUUCUCUUCCGAAGAAGCUUCUACAAUAUGAAUAAACAGAGAUUUUCUGAUGGUCUCGAGCUGUAUCUACCUGAAUUGCCAGUCAUGACGAUUGACGACACUAUUCCAAAACCGAUACCGAAGAUCUUGUGAACACGCCUUAUUUGGAGAAAGCUCGUCUUAUUAGGUUGCUUAUUUAUCAACCCAAAGCACAGAGGUAUGCUUGCACUUUUACUGAAUGGUAAUCUUAUUUUGGCAGAUAUGUACUUAUACGAUCUCGAGUCAGCAAAGCCAGCCGAAAAUCCGGAAUACAUUAUACAGAGGUUCUCCAAAUGGACGUGGUUUGCUUCACAGCUCCUGUGGCUGCAACUUCAUAGAGACGAGGCGACUUCUAAAACAAUACAAAUAUGUUGUUAUAUGCUACAUUAUAAAUUGUGAUGCAAGAUUUAGUAGUGAAUAAAUUUACUCACCUUCAAAA